This 264-nucleotide long non-coding RNA is filed under the name Elaeis guineensis (African oil palm). RNAcentral's name for it is "long non-coding RNA (EGUI_LNC060100)". Lineage: Eukaryota; Viridiplantae; Streptophyta; Magnoliopsida; Arecales; Arecaceae. The record is from RNAcentral.
CGACGUCGGGUGUGCAUACGAAGUAGAGGGCCUGCACUUCCAGGCCUCUGUGAGAGUCUAUUUUAGAUUUUUAAAGAUUUGAUCUCCUAUUCCACUGCUAUCCAGACAAAGAUUUGAUCUUUAUUCUUAUAGAUUAAUAAAAUUUUUUUUGAUGCAACCUGGGCUAUCCGAAGAGAAAUAAUUUUCCUUCCCUUCAGUUGCUUUACAAUACUUCUACCUAUCCGGAUGUCAGGUCAUCAUUGUUAGAUGGUUACAUCAAUUGGU